UUAAUACCGCAUACGCCCUGAGGGGGAAAGCGGGGGAUCGAAAGACCUCGCGUUAUACGAGCAGCCGACGUCUGAUUAGCUAGUUGGUGAGGUAAGAGCUCACCAAGGCGACGAUCAGUAGCGGGUCUGAGAGGAUGAUCCGCCACACUGGGACUGAGACACGGCCCAGACUCCUACGGGAGGCAGCAGUGGGGAAUUUUGGACAAUGGGGGCAACCCUGAUCCAGCCAUGCCGCGUGUCUGAAGAAGGCCUUCGGGUUGUAAAGGACUUUUGUCAGGGAGGAAAUCCCGCUGGUUAAUACCCGGCGGGGAUGACAGUACCUGAAGAAUAAGCACCGGCUAACUACGUGCCAGCAGCCGCGGUAAUACGUAGGGUGCGAGCGUUAAUCGGAAUUACUGGGCGUAAAGCGUGCGCAGGCGGUUGUGCAAGUCUGAUGUGAAAGCCCCGGGCUUAACCUGGGAACGGCAUUGGAGACUGCACAGCUAGAGU
RNAcentral lists this ribosomal RNA (489 nucleotides) under Chromobacterium violaceum. Its description in RNAcentral is "bacterial SSU rRNA". It matches the Rfam family "Bacterial small subunit ribosomal RNA", at positions 163 to 647 of the family's 1533-position model. Lineage: Bacteria; Pseudomonadati; Pseudomonadota; Betaproteobacteria; Neisseriales; Chromobacteriaceae. The record is from RNAcentral.